GAUGAACGCUAGCUACAGGCUUAACACAUGCAAGUCGAGGGGCAGCAUGAACUUAGCUUGCUAAGUUUGAUGGCGACCGGCGCACGGGUGAGUAACACGUAUCCAACCUUCCGUUUACUCAGGGAUAGCCUUUCGAAAGAAAGAUUAAUACCUGAUAGUAUGGUGAGAUUGCAUGAUAACACCAUUAAAGAUUUAUUGGUAAACGAUGGGGAUGCGUUCCAUUAGGUAGUAGGCGGGGUAACGGCCCACCUAGCCUGCGAUGGAUAGGGGUUCUGAGAGGAAGGUCCCCCACAUUGGAACUGAGACACGGUCCAAACUCCUACGGGAGGCAGCAGUGAGGAAUAUUGGUCAAUGGGCGAGAGCCUGAACCAGCCAAGUAGCGUGAAGGAUGAAGGUCCUACGGAUUGUAAACUUCUUUUAUACGGGAAUAAAGUUUCCUACGUGUAGGAUUUUGUAUGUACCGUAUGAAUAAGCAUCGGCUAACUCCGUGCCAGCAGCCGCGGU
This 504-nucleotide ribosomal RNA is filed under the name uncultured bacterium. Its description in RNAcentral is "bacterial SSU rRNA". It matches the Rfam family "Bacterial small subunit ribosomal RNA", at positions 28 to 521 of the family's 1533-position model. The record is from RNAcentral.